ACGGGUGCGUAACACGUAUGCAACCUACCCCUUACAGGCGGAUAGCUCGGGGAAACUCGAAUUAACCCGCCGUAAUAUAAUUGGAUGGCAUCAUUUGAUUAUUAAAUCUACGGAGGUAAAGGAUGGGCAUGCGUCUGAUUAGUUAGUUGGCGGGGUAACGGCCCACCAAGACGAUGAUCAGUAGGGGAACUGAGAGGUUGAUCCCCCACACUGGCACUGAGAUACGGGCCAGACUCCUACGGGAGGCAGCAGUAGGGAAUAUUGGUCAAUGGAUGGAAGUCUGAACCAGCCAUGCCGCGUGCAGGAAGAAGGCCUUCUGGGUUGUAAACUGCUUUUGCCAGGGGAUAAAAUGACCUUGCGAGGUUAAUUGAAGGUACCUGGUGAAUAAGCCACGGCUAACUACGUGCCAGCAGCCGCGGUAAUACGUAGGUGGCAAGCGUUGUCCGGAUUUAUUGGGUUUAAAGGGUGCGUAGGCGGCUUAUUAAGUCAGUGGUGAAAUACUCUAGCUCAACUAGAGGGGUGCCAUUGAUACUGAUGAGCUUGAGUACAGAUGAGGUAGGCGGAAUUGACGGUGUAGCGGUGAA
This 584-nucleotide ribosomal RNA is filed under the name uncultured Ohtaekwangia sp. Its description in RNAcentral is "bacterial SSU rRNA". It matches the Rfam family "Bacterial small subunit ribosomal RNA", at positions 102 to 685 of the family's 1533-position model. The record is from RNAcentral. Lineage: Bacteria; Pseudomonadati; Bacteroidota; Cytophagia; Cytophagales; Fulvivirgaceae.